UGGUUAAAUGCAUAGUUUGUGGAGUUGUGAGAAGUUAUGCAUAACUAUCACCUUUCUAAACAGUACAAAAGUCACAAAACAUAUAUAAUUUGUGGAAAAUUAGGCCAGCUCUCCUUGCAUCUGUUACUUUCUUCAUAGUUGCAUUUCAUGUCUAAUUAGGCAGCUUUGCUGAUUAUCCCCAAUUUGUAAUUAGUACCUGUAUAUGCACUUGUUUUCAGCAAUAAAUUAAGAUAACUUACAAUAUGUAAUUUUACUUUCAUGUAAUGGGAUUUAGUGCAUGAUAGUACCAUUUAGUGUCAUAUACCAUUUUUCUUUUGUGACCUGUUGUAGUAUAGCCAACUACUCCUAACUUCUUCAGUUACUAGAUGCUAGGACAUGGUUACUUUUCAGAAAGUCUCAAACCUUAAACUCUACAAACAAGUGAAGUAUUUCAAGAACAAAAACAAAACUACAGGACUACAAUACAAAACAUUCAGUGCAUAGAUAAUAAAUGAGAAGAAAAUGAACUGUGAAGCGCCUUACAGAGAUGGGAAGUUAUUUUUAAUCACUUUCACUUGAACCCUCAAUUUUCUCCUAUAAUACAAACAAAAACCAUCCUGAAAUAAGAGCAGUAUAUAAGAGAGAGGAGAUAAAGAAACCCGAAUUGAAAAUGCCAGAGAGUAAUCUGUAAAUAGAUUAAUGAGACUAAACAUUUUCCAUCCUCCGAUGGCCCAACAAAUGAUAAAUUUGAAAGGCCAUCAACAAAUCAGUCCCAGAUCUUGUUCUGCGAGAUUUUAAAAUCACCGUCAUUACCAUAACUCGGUGUAGGUCCAGGAUAAUCCUUUGUUCCACAGUUUUGCAGUAGCGAGUUCCAGGACAAAAUUUCUAACAACUAAAUGCUUAACAAGUAACUUUUGGAUAAAUUAGCAGGACCAUACAUUAAAUGCAUUUUAACAAUCUUUAAUUGAUUCUACUAAUUAGUAGCUUGAGCGUACUUCUUACGCAUGUAUUUAUACAAAAUUUAAUUAAUACAACUCCCAACUGAUAAAAUCUGAUGUCCUGCGUUAAAUGCAAUUUGACAUAGUUCACAGUAAAAAUUUCUAA
This 1083-nucleotide long non-coding RNA is filed under the name Panax ginseng (ginseng). RNAcentral's name for it is "long non-coding RNA (PGIN_LNC010537)". Lineage: Eukaryota; Viridiplantae; Streptophyta; Magnoliopsida; Apiales; Araliaceae. The record is from RNAcentral.